GUACCUGAUGAUCAACUUUUUAUCAAUAUACGCUGGAAAUUACCGGCUGAGGUUUUUCUUUGACGAUAUUAAAUGGCUAUGUCUGACU
Molecule: small nucleolar RNA, 88 nt
Filed under: Moelleriella libera RCEF 2490
Lineage: Eukaryota; Fungi; Ascomycota; Sordariomycetes; Hypocreales; Clavicipitaceae
Description: Aschersonia aleyrodis RCEF 2490 A. fumigatus snoRNA Afu_300
Rfam family: A. fumigatus snoRNA Afu_300
Source: Rfam by way of RNAcentral